This is a long non-coding RNA of Pogonomyrmex barbatus (red harvester ant), 91 nucleotides long. Lineage: Eukaryota; Metazoa; Arthropoda; Insecta; Hymenoptera; Formicidae. The record is from RefSeq and is a predicted model, not a curated record.
AGAAUAGAUUUCCCGAAUUAUUCGUAUUGUUCCACAACGCAUAGGGAAUCAGUGAGGUUCGACGGCCGAAGCAAACAGAGAAGAAGCAGAU